RNAcentral lists this ribosomal RNA (541 nucleotides) under uncultured bacterium. RNAcentral describes it as "bacterial SSU rRNA". It matches the Rfam family "Bacterial small subunit ribosomal RNA", at positions 767 to 1327 of the family's 1533-position model. The record is from RNAcentral.
AGCUAAUAGAUACCCAGGUAGUCCACGCCGUAAACUAUGCUUGCUAGCUGUUAUCAGUAUCGACCCUGGUAGUAGCGAAGCUAACGCGUUAAGCAAGCCGCCUGUGGAGUACGAGCGCAAGCUUAAAACAUAAAGGAAUUGACGGGGACCCGCACAAGCGGUGGAGCGUGUUGUUUAAUUCGACGGUAAGCGAAGAACCUUACCCAGGCUUGACAUCCUGCCAAGUUUUCCGAAAGGAAAAUGUGCCUUCGGGCCGCAGUGACAGGUGAUGCAUGGCCGUCGUCAGCUCGUGUCGUGAGAUGUUUGGUUAAGUCCAUCAACGAGCGCAACCCUUAUAGUCAGUUGAAUUUUUCUGGCUAGACUGCCCCGGGUAACGGGGAGGAAGGAGGGGACGAUGUCAGGUCAUUAUUUCCCUUACGUCUGGGGCUACAAACACGCUACAAUGGCCGGUACAAAGGGCAGCUAAGUCGUGAGACGGAGCAAAUCCCAUCAAAGCCGGUCUCAGUUCGGAUUGUAGGCUGAAACUCGCCUGCAUGAAGCU